GCAGUUUGAUCUCAGACUGCUGUGCUAGCAAUCAGCGAGACUCCAUGGGCGUAGGACCCUCGGAGCCAGGUGCGGGAUGUAAUCUCGUGGUGCGCCGUUUUUUAAGCCCGUCGGAAAAGCGCAAUAUUCGGGUGGGAGUGACCCGAUUUUCCAGGUAGAGACACUUUUGACUUGAUCUCUGCAGUCCUCAACAUGGUAUGUAACACAAGAUAGGUCCUUAAUACUUGCAUUUGCUUGGUUCGAAACUAAACGCGUGACCGUCACGAUGACAUCUCUCAGCUUGCUCUCAUGUGGCACCACUGGGUCAUCCUUCCCAUCCCAUGACAGUUGUUAGACUCAAGUUCAGGUUUAGUUGGUCUAUCCUAGCCCCCCGUGUUGUUUACCAUUCCACAGACAAUGCAUUUCUUGGCUACUGGGAAAAAACAUCCUGCAGUGUGAACCAAUCUCCCCCUCUCCCUGCCUAGCCCUGGGUCUCAGUUUGCAGAGGCUCUGCCUUGGGCUCAUUCUCACAGAGCAGCAGCAGCCGCAGAUAAAAGUGGGGCAAGGUUCACCUGAGCACAAAGCAGAGCCCGGACUGGCUAAUAAAUUAUGUAGAGAUUCUAU
RNAcentral lists this long non-coding RNA (603 nucleotides) under Homo sapiens (human). RNAcentral's name for it is "PREDICTED lncRNA (TCONS_00165277)". The record is from RNAcentral. Lineage: Eukaryota; Metazoa; Chordata; Mammalia; Primates; Hominidae.